GAUCUUGGCUGAUUGGCGAGAAUAACAAGAUUUCAAGCAAGCUGUUGAUGGUGUGUUGGUGACACGGCUGCUUGGCGAGAAAUACAAGACUUCAACCAAGUUGAUGGUGCGUUGGUGACUGGCUGAUUGGCGAGAUUAUCAAGGUAAGUGCCAAUUAUAGUCCUGCUUACUUUUGUUU
Molecule: long non-coding RNA, 178 nt
Organism: Ostrinia furnacalis (Asian corn borer)
Lineage: Eukaryota; Metazoa; Arthropoda; Insecta; Lepidoptera; Crambidae
Exons: 3
Source: RefSeq, a predicted model, not a curated record